Molecule: ribosomal RNA, 238 nt
Filed under: uncultured bacterium
Lineage: Bacteria
Description: partial 16S ribosomal RNA
Rfam family: Bacterial small subunit ribosomal RNA
Source: RNAcentral
CAACGUAAACAACCUGCCUUAAGGAUGGGGAUAACAGACGGAAACGACUGCUAAUACCGAAUACGUUCUAAGCAUCGCAUGAUGCAUAGAAGAAAGGGUGGCCUCUACAAGAAAGCUAUCGCCUUAAGAGGGGUUUGCGACUGAUUAGGUAGUUGGUGAGGUAACGGCUCACCAAGCCGACGAUCAGUAGCCGACCUGAGAGGGUGACCGGCCACAUUGGGACUGAGACACGGCCCAA